RNAcentral lists this ribosomal RNA (405 nucleotides) under uncultured bacterium. Its description in RNAcentral is "partial 16S ribosomal RNA". It matches the Rfam family "Bacterial small subunit ribosomal RNA", at positions 30 to 526 of the family's 1533-position model. The record is from RNAcentral.
AUUGAACGCUGGCGGCAGGCUUAACACAUGCAAGUCGAACGAGUGGCGGACGGGUGAGUAAUGCUUGGGAAUCUGGCUUAUGGAGGGGGAUAACGACGGGAAACUGUCGCUAAUACCGCCUUCCCUAGGAUGAGCCCAUGUGGGAUUAGGUAGUUGGUGGGGUAAUGGCCUACCAAGCCGACGAUCUCCAGCUGGUCUGAGAGGAUGACCAGUAACACGGGAACUGAGAAACGGCCCGGACUCCUACGGGAGGCAGCAGUGGGGAAUAUUGCGCAAUGGGGGCAACCUGACGCAGCAAGGCCGCGUGAAUGAAGAAGGCCUUCGGGUGGUAAAGUUCUUUCGGUGAGGAGGCGGUAAUCAAAGAAGAAGCACCGGCUAACUACGUGCCAGCAGCCGCGGUAAUUC